UCCGGUUUGUCACCGGCAGUCUGGCGUGAGUCCCCAACUUAAUGAUGGCAACACGCCACAGGGGUUGCGCUCGUUGCGGGACUUAACCCAACAUUUCACAACACGAGCUGACGACAGCCAUGCACCACCUGUGAAUCACCCUCGAAGGCGACUACUUUUCGGUAGCUUACAGAUCCAUGUCAAGCCCAGGUAAGGUUCUUCGCGUUGCAUCGAAUUAAAGAACAUGCUCCGCUGCUUGUGCGGGCCCCCGUCAAUUCUUUUGAGUUUUAACCUUGCGGUCGUAAUCCCCAGGCGGGGUGCUUAAUGCGUUAGCUACGGCACGGAGGGAGUGGAUAACCCCCCACACCUAGCACCCAUCGUUUACGGCGUGGACUAC
RNAcentral lists this unclassified non-coding RNA (376 nucleotides) under uncultured Actinomycetes bacterium. RNAcentral describes it as "uncultured actinobacterium contains 16S-23S intergenic spacer region". The record is from RNAcentral. Lineage: Bacteria; Bacillati; Actinomycetota; Actinomycetes.